GACGAACGCUGGCGGCGUGCUUAACACAUGCAAGUCGAACGGAAAGGCCCUGCUUUUGUGGGGUGCUCGAGUGGCGAACGGGUGAGUAACACGUGAGUAACCUGCCCUUGACUUUGGGAUAACUUCUGGAAACUGGGGCUAAUACCGGAUAGGAGCUCCUGCUGCAUGGUGGGGGUUGGAAAGUUUCGGCGGCUGGGGAUGGACUCGCGGCUUAUCAGCUUGUUGGUGGGGUAGUGGCUUACCAAGGCUUUGACGGGUAGCCGGCCUGAGAGGGUGACCGGCCACAUUGGGACUGAGAUACGGCCCAGACUCCUACGGGAGGCAGCAGUGGGGAAUAUUGCACAAUGGGCGGAAGCCUGAUGCAGCAACGCCGCGUGCGGGAUGACGGCCUUCGGGUUGUAAACCGCUUUCGCCUGUGACGAAGCGUGAGUGACGGUAAUGGGUAAAGAAGCACCGGCUAACUACGUG
RNAcentral lists this ribosomal RNA (468 nucleotides) under uncultured bacterium. RNAcentral's name for it is "partial 16S ribosomal RNA". It matches the Rfam family "Bacterial small subunit ribosomal RNA", at positions 28 to 507 of the family's 1533-position model. The record is from RNAcentral.